GUGGGAUGGGCUGAGAGUGGCUGAGGGGGUGGGAUUAAAGAGCUGAGGUCUAUGGUGAUAGGUGGGAUGGGCUGAGAGUGGCUGAGGGUUGGGAUUAAAGAGCUGAGGUCUAUGGUGAUAGGUGGGAUGGGCUGAGAGUGGCUGAGGGGUGGGAUUAAAGAGCUGAGGUCUAUGGUGAUAGGUGGGAUGGGCUGAGAGAGGCUGAGGGGGUGGGAUUAAAGAGCUGAGGUCUAUGGUGAUAGGUGGGAUGGGCUGAGAGUGGCUGAGGGGUGGGAUUAAAGAGCUGAGGUCUAUGGUGAUAGGUGGGAUGGGCUGAGAGAGGCUGAGGGGUGGGAUUAAAGAGCUGAGGUCUAUGGUGAUAGGUGGGAUGGGCUGAGAGAGGCUGAGAGGUGGGAUUAAAGAGUUUAUGUUCGGUAUUGUAUUAUUGUUAUGUGACUGCUUUAUAUAACAGUACCAUGUAUGUCAAAUGUAUAUAUAUAUGUAGCAGAAAAGCUGGGAAAAAAAUCUAAAAGAUAUUUGUCCUCCGAAAGAGAGGUCGAGGGG
Oncorhynchus tshawytscha (Chinook salmon) is the source of this 543-nucleotide long non-coding RNA. NCBI's taxonomy places the organism in Eukaryota, Metazoa, Chordata, Actinopteri, Salmoniformes, Salmonidae. The record is from Ensembl.